Cicer arietinum (chickpea) is the source of this 461-nucleotide long non-coding RNA. RefSeq lists it as uncharacterized. Lineage: Eukaryota; Viridiplantae; Streptophyta; Magnoliopsida; Fabales; Fabaceae. The record is from RefSeq and is a predicted model, not a curated record.
UUUCUAAUAAUUAUUUCUUACCCUAGCUUUGAUUAUUUUGAAUUAGGGCUCUCCUCGUAUACUAGGUUUUCUAACCACGUGAAGCCUAUAUUAGGGAGAUGGGUGCUUUAUUUGAGAAACUUCGAAAUUUGUUGGAGUAUGUGCAAGAUGAAGGUGGAAUCUUGAAGACUAAUUUGUGUGGGGUCAUAAACUAGGGUUCUUGGUUAUAAAGAAUUAAAUUGAAGGCUGUGACAAAGUAGCAGUACUAAGUUCUUAGACUGAUGGAAUUUUCUUGUAAGUACUUCAACAAAAAGUUGAUGUUCAAAUUAAAUAAAUCAAGAACAUAUUUCAUGUGAGAGAAUUAUCCUACUUAUUGGAUGUAGGUCACCAAUAAGGACGAAGUUAACCAACUAGUUUAAAUCUUGAUGUUAUUUUUUAGUUUGUAAAAUUUGAAUAAAAAAAUUGAAGUUUUUUGUGAAGAA